Molecule: ribosomal RNA, 593 nt
Filed under: uncultured Cladosporium
Lineage: Eukaryota; Fungi; Ascomycota; Dothideomycetes; Cladosporiales; Cladosporiaceae
Description: LSU rRNA
Rfam family: Eukaryotic large subunit ribosomal RNA
Source: RNAcentral
CAAUAAGCGGAGGAAAAGAAACCAACAGGGGAUUGCUCUAGUAACGGCGAGUGAAGCAGCAAUAGCUCAAAUUUGAAAUCUGGCGUCUUCGACGUCCGAGUUGUAAUUUGUAGAGGAUGCUUCUGAGUAACCACCGACCUAAGUUCCUUGGAACAGGACGUCAUAGAGGGUGAGAAUCCCGUAUGCGGUCGGAAAGGUGCUCUAUACGUAGCUCCUUCGACGAGUCGAGUUGUUUGGGAAUGCAGCUCUAAAUGGGAGGUAAAUUUCUUCUAAAGCUAAAUAUUGGCCAGAGACCGAUAGCGCACAAGUAGAGUGAUCGAAAGAUGAAAAGCACUUUGGAAAGAGAGUUAAAAAGCACGUGAAAUUGUUAAAAGGGGAAGGGAUUGCCACCAGACUUGCUCGCGGUGUUCCGCCGGUCUUCUGACCGGUCUACUCCCCGCGUUGCAGGCAGCAUCGUCUGGUGCCGCUGGAUAAGACUUGAGGAAUGUAGCUCCCUCGGGAGUGUUAUAGCCUCUUGUGAUGCAGCGAGCGCNGGGCGAGGUCCGCGCCUCCGCUAGGAUGCUGGCGUAUUUGUCGUUAUUCGCCCGUUUUGA